AUGCUCAGCAGCCAGCUCACCGUCCCAGUCAGCAAAUGGAAAUCGGACAAGUUCCAAUGCAGCGUUGCACAUCCAUUUACCAGAUCCACAGUCAACAAACAGAUCGAAUCCUGCAAGAGCAAAGACCCUGUAGCCCCAAAAGUCCGCCUGCUCCAUUCCUCCUGCAGCCCCGAAUCCAGCAGUGCCUCCAUUGAACUGGUGUGCUUUAUCUCUGGUUUCUACCCCAAACAUGUGACGGUAGAGUGGUUGGUGGGUGGGCAAUCUGGGUUGCUGCCCUCAGUCACAGGCGAGCCCAGGAAAGAUGCCAGUGGGCACACCUUCAGCACCAUCAGCACAGCCACCAUUAAGCAAUCAGACUGGCAAGAGAAGAAUGCCUACAUCUGCCAGGUGACCCAUGCAGCAGCCGCAGAACCACUGAGAAGCAAAGCCAAGAUAUGUGAAGGCUCCUUCGACAUCAGAACCUUCAUCCUACCCCCAAACGCCAAUGACCUUUACAUGACAAGGCAAUCCACAGUCACCUGUGUGGUGAACAACCUGGAAAGCGACGCUGGACUGGAAGUGACCUGGUCUCGGGAGAAAGGGCCGGUGACCCCUGAGCCAUUACAGACAAGAGAGGAGCUUAAUGGCACUCUCACUGCAACCAGCUCUUUGGUCAUCAAUGUCGAUGACUGGCUAGUAGGGGAGGCAUUUACCUGCACAGUGAAUCUUCCAGGCCUGCUUCAACCCAUCACCGUCAGCGCUAACAAGAAGACAGAACCCAGCGUUGGUCCCAAUGUGUACCUCUUCCGUCCCCACCAUGAGGAGCUCAGCUCUAGGGAUCAAUAUGUCUCCAUCACUGCCCUAGUGAAAGGCUUCACACCCAAUGACAUCUCCCUGAAAUGGCUCAAGAAUGGCAACCCCUUGGCCAAAGACGACUACAUGAACACUCCAGUCUUCAGAGACAGCAACGACUCCUAUUUCUUAUUCAGCAAACUGAAGGUCCCCAAGACUGACUGGAACAGAGGUGACUCCUACACCUGCAUGGUCAUCCACGAAGGUCUGCACCUCAAGUUCAUCCAGAAGAACAUUGAGAAAUCCCACGUGAUAAUAAUAUCAACGGAGAUUGAUCACAGCAAUGAGAUAGAAGACGAACUGGAAAGUCUGUGGAGCACCAUCUUGGUUUUCUUCAUUCUCUUCCUCCUCAGCGUGUGCUAUAAUGCCACAAUGACAUUCUUCAAGGUAAAAUGGCUUUUCACCACUGUGGUACAGCUGAAGAAGCAGCCUCUAGCCCACGAGUACAAGAAUGUAAUCCCGCAGACGGCGUAG
Non-coding RNA from Rhineura floridana, 1305 nucleotides. NCBI's taxonomy places the organism in Eukaryota, Metazoa, Chordata, Lepidosauria, Squamata, Rhineuridae. The record is from the annotation of a RefSeq genome assembly.